Molecule: long non-coding RNA, 232 nt
Filed under: Capsicum annuum
Lineage: Eukaryota; Viridiplantae; Streptophyta; Magnoliopsida; Solanales; Solanaceae
Description: long non-coding RNA (CANN_LNC006997)
Source: RNAcentral
UGGUAGUGUUUUGAGAUAGUUUGAGACUCUUCGUGACUUUAAAAUUCAUUAGUUUGACCUUAUUCAAUAUUUCAUAUUUUGAGUGAUAGAAGGUAUUUUCUACUAUUCCAUUAGAUUUGAAAUAUAGAUUUUAUGUUUUUAGCAGGGUCGGUUUGAGUUCAAAAUUUUUAUUUAACAUUUUGACCCUUGAUUUGAAAACUACUUACAUUAAACUUUUAGGGGUUUUGAGAGA